UUAUAUACUCUAUCUUGGCACUAUCUCUAACCAAUGUGGAACUUGGGUUGUCAUCCACGCACCAAGCCCAAAAGGGCUGGGCAUGAGGGGGUGUAUUGGGAAAAACCCAAGUCCCACAUUAGCUGGAGAUAAGGAUAAGAUAGAGUAUAUAAG
Molecule: microRNA precursor, 153 nt
Filed under: Glycine max (soybean)
Lineage: Eukaryota; Viridiplantae; Streptophyta; Magnoliopsida; Fabales; Fabaceae
Description: miR9724b stem-loop (gma-MIR9724b)
Source: miRBase by way of RNAcentral